GAUUUGAUAUCUUAUCAACAGACUCCUAGACAGAGAAACGGUUCCUAGCUCUUAGACAGAUAAAGUAUGUGAGCUGAGUAUGUAUGGCUUUUGGAAAACAUAAACGGCAAAGCUCUCUUGAACGUGAUCCUCGAAAUGCCUGACUAUUUUGAAGUCUUUGAGCAAUGAGGAAACAAUUAGUCCAAGGUAUUGUAAUAAUCUUAGAGGGGGAAGUGCACCUUACUUUUUGAAAAUCUUGAUGGGUAUCAAGGACUACCAAAACUAGCCGCAUUAUGUGAAGAGAGGACAGGUGUGAGACCACAACACACAUACACAGAUUUGUUGGAAUUUUCCAUCCCUGGAAAUUUCUUUGCUAUCAGUGAGGACCCCAUCACAAGAAGAGAAAUUCAUAAACAUCUUCAGAGAUUAGCUGGGGCAGUUUGCAGUGAGUAUAAGAAGGCAAAGGGUGGAAGGUAAAGUCUGGAACUGAGCAAAAAGUCUUAGAGGUUUCACAUCUAUGAAGGACAGACACUUGACCUAGUGGAAUUAAGAAAGCAGAAUGAACUUCUGGGGUGGAAAGAAAAUUACAGUGAUUUAGAGUCAGAACUAAAAAAACUUCAUCAAGAGAUGUAGGUGGCAAUCCAAGAAAAAGAUGGAGCAAUUAAGAAUUUACAAACAAUCAAUUAAGAUCUCUCAAGUCAUCUAAGUUCACUUGGAAACCUUGCCUACAGAGGGAAAGACAUUUCCGAAGUAGCAAAGAAGUCAAGAACGUUGAAAGCCUUUUUGUCAAGGACACAGUCAGCCCUCUGGUUUGCCACAUCAUUUGGACUUCAAU
Molecule: RNA transcript, 814 nt
Organism: Stylophora pistillata
Lineage: Eukaryota; Metazoa; Cnidaria; Anthozoa; Scleractinia; Pocilloporidae
Source: RefSeq, a predicted model, not a curated record